AAUAAACAAAAUGCUGCUGUGUCUGAAUGCUGCCUGUUAACAGAAACUUCACGGAGCCCAAACUAAAAGCUCAGCUGUAAGGAAAGGGGGCUUUCUGGCAACUGGGGAGUUCUGCACAGAAGCUGACCCUGAGACACCCCUGGGAUAGGAGCUGUGAGAGGUGAUGGCAAAGGGUUUGGCACUGCACUGGCUGUAAAGCUUCUGGUGAUGGGCUGGAGAGAAGGCCUCGGCCUGGGAAAAGUGUAAAGUACAAAACUUCUGAUACUGGCUGAAGCA
This 276-nucleotide long non-coding RNA is filed under the name Calidris pugnax (ruff). RNAcentral's name for it is "lncRNA (ENSCPUG00000000788.1)". The record is from RNAcentral. Lineage: Eukaryota; Metazoa; Chordata; Aves; Charadriiformes; Scolopacidae.